GUUGUAUAGUCAAGUAAUUAAGUGCAUGUGGUGGAUGCCUUGGCAGUCAGAGGCGAUGAAAGACGUGAUAGCCUGCGAAAAGCUCCGGGGAGGCGGCAAAUAUCCUUUGAUCCGGAGAUGUCUGAAUGGGGGAACCCACCUACUUUAAGGUAGGUAUUGCNNNNNNNNNNNNNNNNNNNNNNNNNNNNNNNNNNNNAACAUGAAUACAUAGUGUUGCAAGGCGAACGAGGGGAAGUGAAACAUCUCAGUACCCUUAGGAAAAGAAAUCAAUUGAGAUUCCCUCAGUAGCGGCGAGCGAACGGGGAUCAGCCCAUUAAGUUAUGUGUGUUUUAGUGGAACGCUCUGGGAAGUGCGAACGUAGAGGGUGAUAUUCCCGUACACGAAAGGGCACACAUAAUGAUGACGAGUAGGGCGAGGCACGUGAAACCUUGUCUGAAUAUGGGGGGACCAUCCUCCAAGGCUAAAUACUCCUGACUGACCGAUAGUGAACCAGUACCGUGAGGGAAAGGCGAAAAGAACCCCUGUGAGGGGAGUGAAAUAGAUCCUGAAACCGCAUGCAUACAAGCAGUGGGAGCACCUUCGUGGUGUGACUGCGUACCUUUUGUAUAAUGGGUCAGCGACUUAUAUUCAGUAGCGAGGUUAACCGUAUAGGGGAGCCGUAGAGAAAUCGAGUCUUAAUAGGGCGUUUAGUUGCUGGGUAUAGACCCGAAACCAGGCGAUCUAUCCAUGAGCAGGUUGAAGGUUGGGUAACACUAACUGGAGGACCGAACCCACUGUCGUUGAAAAGCCAGGGGAUGACUUGU
RNAcentral lists this ribosomal RNA (803 nucleotides) under Acinetobacter baumannii. Its description in RNAcentral is "partial 23S ribosomal RNA". It matches the Rfam family "Bacterial large subunit ribosomal RNA", at positions 1 to 812 of the family's 2925-position model. Lineage: Bacteria; Pseudomonadati; Pseudomonadota; Gammaproteobacteria; Moraxellales; Moraxellaceae. The record is from RNAcentral.